CCUACGGGAGGCAGCAGUAAGGAAUAUUGGUCAAUGGACGAGAGUCUGAACCAGCCAUGCCGCGUGAAGGAUGAAGGCCCUCUGGGUUGUAAACUUCUUUUACAGGGGACGAAAAACGGCCAUUCUUGGUCACUUGACGGUACCCUGGGAAUAAGCACCGGCUAACUCCGUGCCAGCAGCCGCGGUAAUACGGAGGGUGCAAGCGUUAUCCGGAUUCACUGGGUUUAAAGGGUGCGUAGGUGGGUUGGUAAGUCAGUGGUGAAAUCUUUCCGCUUAACGGGAAACUGCCAUUGAUACUAUCAGUCUUGAAUUUUCUGGAGGACAGCGGAAUAUGUCAUGUAGCGGUGAAAUGCUUAGAUAUGACAUAGAACACCGAUUGCGAAGGCAGCUGUCUACGGGGAUAUUGACACUGAGGCACGAAAGCGUGGGGAUCAAACAGGAUUAGAUACCCUGGUAGUCCACGCCCUAAACGAUGGAUACUCGACAUUCGCGAUACACAGUGAGUGUCUGAGCGAAAGCAUUAAGUAUCCCACCUGGGAAGUACGACCGCAAGGUUGAAACGUCAAAGGAAUUGACGG
This 578-nucleotide ribosomal RNA is filed under the name uncultured bacterium. RNAcentral describes it as "bacterial SSU rRNA". It matches the Rfam family "Bacterial small subunit ribosomal RNA", at positions 338 to 916 of the family's 1533-position model. The record is from RNAcentral.